GUUGUCAUAGCUCAACGGUUAGAGCGGAACACUGUUAAUGUUUAGAUAAAGGUUCGAUUCCUUUUGACGACU
Molecule: non-coding RNA, 72 nt
Organism: Saitozyma podzolica
Lineage: Eukaryota; Fungi; Basidiomycota; Tremellomycetes; Tremellales; Trimorphomycetaceae
Source: the annotation of a GenBank genome assembly